UAGCUCACUUGGUAGAGUGUUUGUCUAGGACACAUGAAGCCCUGGGUUUGAGUCCCAG
This 58-nucleotide transfer RNA is filed under the name Rattus norvegicus (Norway rat). It matches the Rfam family "tRNA", at positions 8 to 63 of the family's 71-position model. Rfam says of the family: Transfer RNA (tRNA) molecules are approximately 80 nucleotides in length. Their secondary structure includes four short double-helical elements and three loops (D, anti-codon, and T loops). The record is from Rfam by way of RNAcentral. Lineage: Eukaryota; Metazoa; Chordata; Mammalia; Rodentia; Muridae.